RNAcentral lists this long non-coding RNA (260 nucleotides) under Carica papaya (papaya). RNAcentral's name for it is "long non-coding RNA (CPAP_LNC011169)". The record is from RNAcentral. Lineage: Eukaryota; Viridiplantae; Streptophyta; Magnoliopsida; Brassicales; Caricaceae.
CCUACUGGUAUUCAUGAGGGUCCAUAGGGAUGUCUCUACUACGCGUGAGUCAUUAUUCAACAUUGUCAAUUAACCGGCCAUCCCCAUAUCGGGUGCGUUAUGAGCGCUAAAAAUAUCAUCCCUCAAUACCUCAUCCGAUAUAAAGGUGAAAUGGGUCGUCUCCAUACUCCGUCCGGUAUGGUGCCAAAAUACUAAUUCUCGAUACCCCGUUCGGCAUGAAGCGACGUUUACGAUAAGGUUCCCUAUAUACCAAGUCCAUC